GGGAAGGAAACAGGAACUGCAGGAAUGAGAAAGCUUAUGCAUCAAGAUAAUGACAGGGAGAUUGCUCACUAAUUAUCUCUGCAAGAAAAAUGGACUUAGGGAAAAUUAAUUUAUUGCAUGUUUGAACAAUAAUGUACUUACUAAUUCAGGUUGUGGGAAACAAAAGUAAAAACAUUAAAACACAUUUCCUCCCCACUUUCCUAGGUUCAGCUUCACAUCUUCACUCCAGUCUCCUGGUGCAGGGAAGGAUGGGGCAGGGUACAGUCAGAUCAUAGUGGUUACUUUUGGCUUCCUAUUCAUACUUUCUGCUCCAAUGUAGGCUCUAUUGAUCAGGAAAAUCAAUUCUCAUGUGGGGUCCUCCAAUGGCUGCGUAAUGUAUGUGCUCCAGUGCCUUCUCUGACCUUGGUGUUCCCUCUGAUGCAUGUCACUCUUCUUGUUUCCUCCUCCUCACUCCAUCUUGUGUUUUCUUAAUUAUAUUCUCAUAGGGGCACCAGUAGCUUGGCUGAUGGGUUCAGCUUUGGAUGGCAGAGGGUCCAUUUUGGAGCCAGCUGGAACCAGCCAUGUCAGUUUUCAGGGUGAAAACCAUAGAGUCUCACUGGGAUCUGUAUUGUGACCUGUUCUGCUUAACAUAUUUAUACGCAUUUUGAAAGAAGGGUGAAAGAUUACAAAGUUUGAUAGUAAAGGCAAAAGAUGUUUCAAAUGUCAUGGUUCUGUGUGAUCCCAUAACUAAAAGCCAGAUGAAGUUCAGCAUAGACAAAAUAUAAAUUGAUAGACCAAAAGAAAAAUAAUUCUGCCUUUACAUACAAAAGGAUAGAGUGUGAAGUAUUCUAACUUGAAGUUAACAGAUCAUACCAGGAAAUAUCAGGAACAUGCUUAAUAAUAGUCCAAAAUAACAAAAUCACAAAUCACUAUGGAAGGAAUAUAAAAAUAUAAUGGUGACAAAAACACAGCUCCAGACUCAAUACUGUGUAUAAUUCUAGCAAGUAAUUUUUACUGUUUCUUCCAGUUGAAGAGCUAGGAAACAGUGAAGGAAAAUAGCUAACAGCAGAUUUUAAUCAAAUAAAAAGAAGAUAAUUCUUCAGACAUGUCAUUAAAUUAUACCUUUGGCCACAGAAUCAUGGAUGCUAAAAUUAACUUAAAAAUUACCAUAAAAAUCAAGGAAACAAAAAUCUAUUAAGAGUUAUUAAAAAUAAAAAUUCAUUUUAAAA
Long non-coding RNA from Gallus gallus (chicken), 1208 nucleotides. The record is from Ensembl. NCBI's taxonomy places the organism in Eukaryota, Metazoa, Chordata, Aves, Galliformes, Phasianidae.